CAGUAGCCGCGGGAAUACGAGGGGGGCAAGCGUUGUUCGGAAUUAUUGGGCGUAAAGGGUGCGUAGGCGGUUCAGCAAGUCUCGUGUGAAAUCUUCGGGCUCAACCCGAAGUCUGCACGGGAAACUACUGGGCUUGAGUAAUGGAGAGGUGAGUGGAAUUUCCGGUGUAGCGGUGAAAUGCGUAGAUAUCGGAAGGAACACCUGUGGCGAAAGCGGCUCACUGGACAUUUACUGACGCUGAUGCACGAAAGCUAGGGGAGCAAACAGGAUUAGAUACCCGCGUAGUCCCUGUCUCUUAUAC
Molecule: ribosomal RNA, 301 nt
Filed under: uncultured bacterium
Lineage: Bacteria
Description: partial 16S ribosomal RNA
Rfam family: Bacterial small subunit ribosomal RNA
Source: RNAcentral